UGAGGAAUAUUGGACAAUGGGGGCAACCCUGAUCCAGCCAUGCCGCGUGAGUGAAGAAGGCCUUCGGGUUGUAAAGCUCUUUCAGAUGUGAAGAUAAUGACGGUAGCAUCAGAAGAAGCCCCGGCUAAAUUCGUGCCAGCAGCCGCGGUAAUACGAAUGGGGCAAGCGUUGUUCGGAAUCACUGGGCUUAAAGCGUGCGCAGGCGGUUAUGUAAGUCAGAAGUGAAAUCCCGGGGCUUAACCCCGGAAUUGCUUUUGAAACUGCAUGACUAGAAUAUGGGAGAGGUUAGCAGAAUUCCGAGUGUAGAGGUGAAAUUCGCAGAUAUUCGGAGGAAUACCAGUGGCGAAGGCGGCUAACUGGACCAUUAUUGACGCUCAGGCACGAAAGCGUGGGGAGCAAACAG
RNAcentral lists this ribosomal RNA (403 nucleotides) under uncultured bacterium. Its description in RNAcentral is "bacterial SSU rRNA". It matches the Rfam family "Bacterial small subunit ribosomal RNA", at positions 355 to 775 of the family's 1533-position model. The record is from RNAcentral.